UUUUUUGGCUUCCGAAACUUUCAGGAUUUUGGAUUCCUGCUCGUCUGUAGUGGGAAGCAAUAGGAUAAGUUGCGGAAAAGAGAUCUGAAGCUUGAAUUUUUGCUGCUGUUUUGUGGAGAUCUUUAGGGUUUGCAGCUGUUAGGAAAUUUGGAAUUCUGUUUUCUGUCGACGAAAUCGGCCGAAGAAGUCGCAGAUGAGAUAUCUGUUUUGAGAUUUCUUCAAUAUGGCGUCUUCUGAUGUUUCUGUCAAGGGGAACGGCCGUGGGGAGAGCUUCUCUUCCGGCUGCAGCGAACCGAACGAUGGUGGAAUGGCGAGGAAGAGCGUUUCAGCUUCGCCAGCGUCUGGAAAAGAUUCGGAGGAUGCUCUUUAUACCGAGGUUUGGCAUGCCUAUGUUGGUCUGCUUGUCACUGUUCCUCAUCAAGGAGAAUUAGUAAUCUAUUUUCCACAGGGCCACAUAGAGCAGGUCGAGGUGUCCACAAAUCAGGUUGCCAAUCAGAAGAUGCCUGUUUAUGAUCUCCCAUGGAAGAUCCUUUGCCGGGUGAUCAACGUACAGUUGAAGGCCGAACCGGACACUGACGAGGUUUUUGCUCAAGUGACUUUACUUCCUGAAGAAAAGCAAGAUGAGACUACUUUCGAGAAGGAGCCAACUCCUGCUCCACCCCAGCGCCCUCAUGUGCAUUCUUUCUGCAAGACGCUGACUGCUUCUGAUACAAGCACCCAUGGUGGAUUUUCCGUAUUGAGACGGCAUGCUGACGAGUGCCUCCCACCCUUGGACAUGGGCCGUCAACCGCCUACUCAGGAGUUGGCAGCCAAGGAUUUGCACGGGACAGAGUGGCGUUUCCGCCACAUUUUUCGCGGUCAACCAAGGAGGCACCUGCUUCAAAGUGGCUGGAGUGUCUUUGUAAGUUCCAAACGGCUCGUGGCAGGGGAUGCGUUUAUUUUUCUCAGAGGUGAAAAUGGCGAACUUCGUGUUGGAGUGAGGCGUGCUAUGAGACAGCAAACUAAUGUUCCAUCCUCAGUCAUAUCCAGUCACAGCAUGCACCUUGGUGUCCUUGCAACAGCAUGGCAUGCUGUUUCAACAGGAACCAUGUUUACUGUCUAUUACAAACCCAGGACAAGCCCUUCGGAGUUCAUUGUCCCGUUUGAUCAAUACAUGGAGUCCGUUAAGAACAACCAUUCUAUAGGGAUGAGGUUCAAAAUGAGAUUUGAAGGUGAAGAAGCUCCAGAGCAGAGGUUUACAGGCACCAUAGUUGGCGUUGGAGAUUUUGAGCCAAAAAGGUGGCCUGGAUCGAAUUGGAGAUGCCUUAAGGUGCGGUGGGAUGAGACGACUUCCAUUCCUCGUCCAGAGAGAGUUUCUCCUUGGAAAAUUGAACCAGCUUUGGCUCCACCUGCACUGAACCCCCCUCCAAUGCCCAGGCCCAAAAGGCCUCGACCAAACAUGGUGCCGUCUUCUCCUGAUUCAUCUGUUCUAACGAGAGAAGGUCCAUCCAGAGUGACAAUAGACCCUUCGCAAGUACAUGGAUUUGCAAGGGUCUUGCAAGGUCAAGAAAUGACGACCUUGAGAAGUGCUUUUGCUGACAGUAAUGAAUCAGACACUGCCCAGAAGCCUGCUGCAUGGCCUCAGCCGCAGGAUGAUGAGAAAACUGACAUUCCUUCUGCUCAGAGGAGAUUAGGAUCAGAGAAUUGGAUGCCAGUUCUGAGGCAUGAGCAAACAUAUGCAGAAAUGUUAGGCUUUCGAACUCCCAGCGACUCACAUGGGUUCUGUUCUCCACUUCUUGACCAAACUCCAAGUGAAUCUUGUCAUCCAAAGAAGCACUUUCAAGAUCAAGAAGGCAAAUUCAGCUUGCUCACCAGCCAGUGGUCAGUGAUGCCUUCCAGCCCCUCGCUGACCAUGAGGGAUUCGAACUUGAAGGCUCCCGCGCAAACUAGUGAGAUGACUUAUCAAAAAACGGGAAAUGGUAGAUAUGGUGGGCUGGGUGGCUAUUCUCUGCUGCAGAACCUUGGAGUCGAGCAACACCAAGGGAACUGGUUGACACCUUUGUUGCCACCAUCUCAUUUUGAUAACCAAUCUCAUUUAAGUGGAAUAAAAUCUCAACCAGCCUCCGUGCAACAAUGCGAGCCUAUGAAGCCCAAAGGAAAUGGAAACUGCAAACUCUUUGGGAUUCAUCUUAAUAACAAUCCUUUACCGACUGAACCGGCACAGCCACGUAAGAAUGCAGUCCAUGAGCCUGAGCCCGAUGUUCGCCCCAUGAUUGUCCACCACCCGCAGGCUUCAGAACCAGACCAACAGUCAGAGCCGGCUAAAGCUGCAAAGUCAGCUGAUGCUUCUCUGGUGGGAAGCGAGCAACAGAAACCUUUUCAACCUUGUCAGCAACCUUCAAGAGAUGUUCAGAGCAAAGCUCAGGGUGGUUCAACCAGGAGCUGCACUAAGGUCCAUAAGCAGGGGAUUGCCCUUGGGAGGUCUGUUGAUCUCACAAAGUUCAAUGGCUACGAUGAGCUGAUUGUUGAGUUGGAUCGCAUGUUUGAAUUCGAUGGUGAAUUGAAGGGUGCAAACAAAAGCUGGAUGAUUGUGUAUACAGAUAAUGAGGGUGAUAUGAUGCUUGUUGGAGAUGACCCCUGGCAGGAAUUCUGUAGCAUGGUCCGGAAAAUUUUCAUAUACACGCGAGAGGAGGUCCACAAGAUGAAUCCUGGGAAUUUGAACCCAAAGGUUGAAGAAAAUAUGGCAGUCUCAGAAGAACGAGCAGCUGCAAAAGAAAUGAAAAACUCACCACCUUCAAGGGCAGCUGAUCAAGAGAACUUCUAGUUUUAUUUGUCACAUGAUUUCAAAAACCUGAAGGUGCCGGUGUUACUUUUCGCCGAUAAAUUCGAAUGUAAUGUAUCGGCAGGUUUUUGAAAGCAGGAGCUUUAAAAGGCACCACAAGCUGUUUAAGCAGUUGCUGGUGAUGGCAAGUGGGCUGAUACAUCUCUCUCAUUGUCAGGAAGCCCUCUCUUCCAUGCAGCACAUUUACCCAAGACAGGUGUCUUCAAAUAUCACAGUUUUGGAUGUGUUGUGCCAUGCCAUUUUGCUCCUUUAGAAAAUUCCUCCUUUAUGCUACAGUACCACACAUACAUAUAUAUAAAUGUCCUUGGAAUAUCGGCAAGGUAAGGGUCUAGCCAGCUGCCUUGCAUUCUCAUCCCUUUGUAUAUAGCCCUUUGUUCUUCCCCUCUUCAAGGGUAAAAUUCUUACAAUCUUUUUAAUGCUCUUUUGUUUCCCUUCCCUUUCUUUGCCCUACCACCAUUAUUGCUAUUUGUGAGAGAGAUACUGUAAUGACUAUACAAUAGGAAAACAUCAUCUACCGAUCUUUUUCUGUCUUUUUCUUUUUUGGGUUGACUUGGGUUGUUUACUUGUUGUUUCUAACUGCGUCUAGCUUGACAUAAAUUCGAUGUGGUAGCAUAUGUAAAAGGUAAAUUACAUUUGUUUUUCUAACUUUGGGUUGGGUUGAUUCCA
Molecule: RNA transcript, 3487 nt
Organism: Magnolia sinica
Lineage: Eukaryota; Viridiplantae; Streptophyta; Magnoliopsida; Magnoliales; Magnoliaceae
Gene name: auxin response factor 2A-like
Exons: 16
Source: RefSeq, a predicted model, not a curated record